CAGACAGAGAGCUUAUCAGCAGGUGCAGGGAGAUACCCUGACAGCAAAAGAACUAACAAACAGGUAGGCGUCAGGUGAGAAUUGCAGUGUAAUAAACAUUCCUGUGCUGCCCUGCUCUAAGUGCCUCUUAACUUCACUUGGACCUAUGACCUUUUUUUUCUGAUUUUUUUUUUUUUUUGUUUUUAUUGUCUACUCUAUUUCCAAGAAAAGGUAUUGCAUACCAGGC
Molecule: non-coding RNA, 226 nt
Organism: Pelobates cultripes (western spadefoot toad)
Lineage: Eukaryota; Metazoa; Chordata; Amphibia; Anura; Pelobatidae
Source: the annotation of a GenBank genome assembly